UCCGGUUGAUCCUGCCGGACCCCACUGCUAUCGGGGUGGGACUAAGACAUGCUAGUCGUGCGCCUCCAAGCCACGGUGGAGGCGCGGCGCACAGCUCAGUAACACGUGGCUAACCUACCCUUGGGACAGGGACAACCCCGGGAAACUGGGGCUAAUCCCCGAUAGGUGAGGACUCCUGGAAUGGGUCCUCGCUGAAAGGGCGUCUAGACCAUGCUUCUAGACGCUGCCCAAGGAUGGGGCCGCGGCCGAUCAGGUUGUUGGUGAGGUAACGGCUCACCAAGCCUAAGACCGAUACGGGCCGUGAGAGCGGGAGCCCGGAGAUGGACACUGAGACAAGGGUCCAGGCCCUACGGGGCGCAGCAGUCGCGAAACCUCCGCAAUACGCGAAAGCGUGACGGGGCCACCCCGAGUGCCGUCCGCUGAGGACGGCUUUUCCCCAGUGUAGACAGCUGGGGGAAUAAGGGGAGGGCAAGUCGGGUGUCAGCCGCCGCGGUAAUACCCGCUCCCCGAGUGGUGGGGACGCUUAUUGGGCCUAAAGCAUCCGUAGCCGGCUGGACAAGUCCCCUGUUAAAUCCAGCGAUUUAAUCGCUGGACUGCGGGGGAUACUGUCCAGCUAGGGGGCGGGAGAGGCCGGCGGUAUUCCCGGGGUAGGGGUGAAAUCUUAUAAUCCCGGGAGGACCACCAGUGGCGAAGGCUGCCGGCUGGAACGCGCCCGACGGUGAGGGAUGAAAGCUGGGGGAGCGAACCGGAUUAGAUACCCGGGUAGUCCCAGCUGUAAACGAUGCGGGCUAGGUGUUGGCACGGCUACAAGCCGUGUCAGUGCCGCAGGGAAGCCGUUAAGCCCGCCGCCUGGGGAGUACGGCCGCAAGGCUGAAACUUAAAGGAAUUGGCGGGGGAGCACCACAAGGGGUGAAGCUUGCGGUUUAAUUGGAGUCAACGCCGGG
Molecule: ribosomal RNA, 944 nt
Filed under: uncultured archaeon
Lineage: Archaea
Description: bacterial SSU rRNA
Rfam family: Archaeal small subunit ribosomal RNA
Source: RNAcentral